CCUCAGGCAGAGGCACCGCGAGAGGAGACAGCAUUGGCAGGACCUGCCCUCUCUAAGAGCAAAUAGGGACAAAGCCAUCUUCCACGUGGAAAGAAGCCAAAUGGGAGAAUUUCCCCAACCAUUUCCCUUCAGUGCAGCUGGUACCAACUUGAAACCUAAGACACGUAACACUGCAGUCCAGCUGAAGCCUGGCUAAGCCAUAUUUCUUUAGACACGGCAGGAAGCCACUCCAUGCCUGGUGUCAAGAACCAUCUCAGGCCCAGGGGUGAUCUGCUUCCUUGGUUUGACCCCAAGGGGUCAGCUGGCUGGUGAAGCACAUCAACACUUAUUCUAUAGACUGGGACUGUCAGCAGCAGCUUACUGGAAGAGAGAAGAUGACCGGGAUUUGAGUAUUGUCUUCAGGGACUCUUCUGGAGAAGAAGGAUGGUACAGGGGUUUCUACAGAAUGGAAAGAGCUCCAUUUGUUGCUCUGAGAGAGGAGUGUCAAUAAAUGCCUUGUCCCAACCCA
Molecule: long non-coding RNA, 508 nt
Organism: Cynocephalus volans (Philippine flying lemur)
Lineage: Eukaryota; Metazoa; Chordata; Mammalia; Dermoptera; Cynocephalidae
Exons: 2
Source: RefSeq, a predicted model, not a curated record